RNAcentral lists this ribosomal RNA (270 nucleotides) under uncultured bacterium. RNAcentral's name for it is "partial 16S ribosomal RNA". It matches the Rfam family "Bacterial small subunit ribosomal RNA", at positions 88 to 354 of the family's 1533-position model. The record is from RNAcentral.
ACGGCGACCGGCGCACGGGUGAGUAACACGUAUGCGACCUGCCCGUAGCAGGGGGAUAAGCGGAAGAAAUUCCGUCUAAUACCGCGUAAUAUCUUUCGGGGGCAUCCCUGAGGGAUUAAAGGGAGCGAUUCCGGCUACGGAUGGGCAUGCGGCGCAUUAGCUAGUCGGCGGGGUAACGGCCCACCGAGGCGACGAUGCGUAGGGGUUCUGAGAGGAAGGUCCCCCACACUGGUACUGAGACACGGACCAGACUCCUACGGAAGGCAGCAG